GGGUAGCCCAUGUCUCCAAGUUUUAGCCAUGCUGUGUGGGAGCAAGUGCCAGCUCGUUCUCUUCACAGGAAAUUGCAGUAGGAUAUUGCUGAAUGAAUGUAUCUAGGUGGAGCGUGGUGUCUGACCUAUGGAUGGCUCUGGAAAUCUAUGCAAUACUAUUAGAGAUAUACACAUUAUAAUAAGCAUAAUAUCAGUAAUAAGACCCAGGACAAUGGUAGCAGAAACAUUCAGAUAGAAAAGAUGUAUUUUGUCUGAGCCUGAAUUUUAUCUGUGCACCCUGUUUGGUCCCCAGUCAACAGGCUUCAGCAAAAACAAGUGGCACAAUUGUCAUGGAGCUUGGAGUAUGUGUAAAAUGUUGCUGACAUGCUUGGGACUUUGUGAAGAAUUAAAAGCUUCAGUCUGCUCUGGGUCAUCAGUCUUGUGACCAUACAUAGCAACAAAUGAACAUAAGAUCAGCAGAAAGGAGAGAUGGGGGCACUGGCUUAUUUUUUGAAGCCUAAUAUCUCUACUACUUUUCUUGCAAACAGGGAUCUUCAUUUUUCAGUGAAAACACCUCCUUCAAAAGACAGAAGCCUUACGAUUACCCUGUUAAUAUAAUUUUGUAAAAAAGUCAAAGCCAAAAAGCCUUCCCAUUCCCCAUAUAACUAAUAAGGAUUCCUAACUGCUUUUCAUUAGCAUUAAGCUUUCUCGUGGGGGAAACAUUCAUCAGACUCAUUACUUCUGCGGUGGUCCCAAUUUGCUGUCACACUCCCUCUUGGAAAUGUGUUUUAGUUAUAUAUGUAAGUAGUACUGGUAAAGUGAAUUAUUGUAUUUUGGGGCAGAAGGCACAGUUUAAAAGUCUUUUCCUAUUUUAUUACUGGUAAUGCAAAGAAGACGAAGAAACUGGAGCCUUUUUCGGCUUACAAACCAAAGCAUGAAGAUCUUAAAAUCACCAUAAUAUGGCAGUACCAUGAAUUCCCUUUUCUCUACUUCUUCACCAAAAUAAAAAGUUCAUAUCAUGUACUUAAGUGAUGGAC
RNAcentral lists this long non-coding RNA (1016 nucleotides) under Numida meleagris (helmeted guineafowl). RNAcentral describes it as "lncRNA (ENSNMEG00000005682.1)". Lineage: Eukaryota; Metazoa; Chordata; Aves; Galliformes; Numididae. The record is from RNAcentral.